UGCGGUACUCGGGUGAUGCACCCUGGAAUCGGGCUCCCUCCUUUCUGGUUCUGGGUGUGUCACCCAAGAACCGCA
Molecule: non-coding RNA, 75 nt
Organism: Myotis lucifugus (little brown bat)
Lineage: Eukaryota; Metazoa; Chordata; Mammalia; Chiroptera; Vespertilionidae
Source: Rfam